CAGGGAGACAAUAAAUUGAUUGUGAUGUCUAAGUUUUUUAUUCUUAGGCCGCAAUCCUGUCACCUUAAGGUCGAUCGGUACCUCAGAUUUUUGAAUUAGUUUUUAUUAAUUCUUUGAUUUCAGUUCCUAAACUUGUCUAGGUCACACCCAACAAAGGUUUCUCCUGGGCCAUUAGCUCAGGUGGUUAGAGCGCACCCCUGAUAAGGGUGAGGUCCCUGGUUCAAGUCCAGGAUGGCCCAUUCGUUGUUGGGGGUAUAGCUCAGUUGGUAGAGCGCCUGCUUUGCAAGCAGGAUGUCAGCGGUUCGAGUCCGCUUACCUCCACUGAAAACUAUCCUGAUAACUAAAUUUCGGAGAAAAAUUUGUAGAAGUGGCUUAGAAUUGUCUGUCUGAAAAGAACCUAGCUUCUUGUCAUCUUUUUAUAGUUGAUAACAUGCUGGGCUCCCAUGGAUUAUUUCCAUGAGAAUUCAGUAGAACCUUGAAAACUGCAUAGAUUAGAAAGAAUAAAGCAUCUCAUGGAUGCAUAAUUCUGGUUUUAAUAAUUUAGCCUCAAAACUAAAUUACUUAGUUCUAGAAUUCAUGUUUAAUUCUUGAGUAAAAGCCGAGCAAAAUUAAUUUUUUGAUUGUAUUUAA
Molecule: transfer RNA, 630 nt
Filed under: uncultured Prochlorococcus sp.
Lineage: Bacteria; Bacillati; Cyanobacteriota; Cyanophyceae; Synechococcales; Prochlorococcaceae
Description: partial 16S-23S ribosomal RNA intergenic spacer
Rfam family: tRNA (bases 249-321)
Source: RNAcentral